RNAcentral lists this ribosomal RNA (584 nucleotides) under uncultured bacterium. RNAcentral describes it as "bacterial SSU rRNA". It matches the Rfam family "Bacterial small subunit ribosomal RNA", at positions 37 to 639 of the family's 1533-position model. The record is from RNAcentral.
UGGCGGCGUGCUUACACAUGCAAGUCGAGCGGAAAGGCCCUUCGGGGUACUCGAGCGGCGAACGGGUGAGUAACACGUGAGUAACCUGCCCUUGGCUCUGGGAUAGCUCCGGGAAACCGGAAUUAAUACCGGAUAUGACCACGGAAGACAUCUUGUGUGGUGGAAAGAUUUAUCGGCCAGGGAUGGGCUCGCGGCCUAUCAGCUAGUUGGUGGGGUAACGGCCUACCAAGGCGACGACGGGUAGCCGGCCUGAGAGGGCGACCGGCCACACUGGGACUGAGACACGGCCCAGACUCCUACGGGAGGCAGCAGUGGGGAAUAUUGCGCAAUGGGCGAAAGCCUGACGCAGCGACGCCGCGUGGGGGAUGAAGGCCUUCGGGUUGUAAACCCCUUUCGGCAGGGACGAAGCGAAAGUGACGGUACCUGCAGAAGAAGCGCCGGCUAACUACGUGCCAGCAGCCGCGGUAACACGUAGGGCGCAAGCGUUGUCCGGAAUCAUUGGGCGUAAAGAGCUCGUAGGCGGUUUGUCGCGUCUGCUGUGAAAACUCGGGGCUUAACCCCGAGCUUGCAGUGGAUACGGGCAG